CCUACGGGAGGCUGCAGUGAGGAAUAUUGGGCAAUGGGCGGAAGCCUGAACCAGCCAAGUCGCGUGAGGGAUUAAGGCCCUGCGGGUCGUAAACCUCUUUUGCCGGGGAGCAGAGGUCUGGACGGGUCCGUGCCGGGAGAGUACCCGGAGAAAAAGCAUCGGCUAACUCCGUGCCAGCAGCCGCGGUAAUACGGAGGGUGCGAGCGUUAUCCGGAUGUAUUGGGUUUAAAGGGUGCGUAGGCGGGCCGUUUAGCCGGCGGUAAAAUGUCGGGGCUCAACCCCGGCCUGGCGUCGGAACUGGGUGCCUUGAGUGGGCGAGAAGUAUGCGGAAUGCGUGGUGUAGCGGUGAAAUGCAUAGAUAUCACGAAGAACCCCGAUUGCGAAGGCAGCAUACCGGCGCACUACUGACGCUGAGGCACGAAAGUGAGGGUAUCGAACAGGAUUAGAUACCCGUGUAGUC
This 460-nucleotide ribosomal RNA is filed under the name uncultured bacterium. RNAcentral describes it as "partial 16S ribosomal RNA". It matches the Rfam family "Bacterial small subunit ribosomal RNA", at positions 338 to 795 of the family's 1533-position model. The record is from RNAcentral.